This 238-nucleotide ribosomal RNA is filed under the name uncultured bacterium. Its description in RNAcentral is "partial 16S ribosomal RNA". It matches the Rfam family "Bacterial small subunit ribosomal RNA", at positions 94 to 334 of the family's 1533-position model. The record is from RNAcentral.
AGUGGCGGACGGGUGAGUAACGCGUAGGAACCUACCUGGUAGCGGGGGGACAACCUGGUGAAAACCAGGCUAAUACCGCAUACGCCCUACGGGGGAAAGCAGGGGAUCUUCGGACCUUGCACUAUCAGAUGGGCCUGCGUCGGAUUAGCUAGUUGGUGAGGUAAUGGCUCACCAAGGCGACGAUCCGUAGCUGGUUUGAGAGAAUGAUCAGCCACACUGGGACUGAGACACGGCCCAG